RNAcentral lists this transfer RNA (87 nucleotides) under Austrofundulus leohoignei. Its description in RNAcentral is "tRNA-Ala". The stretch from base 1 to 69 matches the Rfam family "tRNA". Rfam says of the family: Transfer RNA (tRNA) molecules are approximately 80 nucleotides in length. Lineage: Eukaryota; Metazoa; Chordata; Actinopteri; Cyprinodontiformes; Rivulidae. The record is from RNAcentral.
AAAUCUUUAGCUUAAUUAAAGUAUCUGCGUUGCAUGCAGAAGAUGUGGGUUUGAAUCCUGUAAGUUUUAUAGGAAUUGAAAGGUUUC